UUAAUCUGCGGGAUUAUCUUUGCCUUUCUUCUCUUAUUUACGUCCGCAGAUGAAGUUGUCCGAUCAGCGAUCAGGAGAUCCAAAUCUUUGAUGUCAUUGUGAUGGAUGUGGCGUUUGUGAGGAAACAGGCUGGGAGGAGAACACCGGGAGGUGGAGGUUUAGGCUGGCCGCAUAGCAGAUCGACAUGCCCGCUUCUGCUUCAGCUCUCUCCGCCGUCUAAGUCGCUGCUGGUCCGGCUACAAUCCACGGCGAGCUCUGGUCAACAACCCGCAGUGCAUACAGCAGUCCACCCGUAGAAACGUGCUAUCUACACUGCAGUGCAGUCACCAUGUUUGCAGAUUUCCUGGAGUAGUAACCACACCUCAAACACAAGCUCCUUAUUCCUCUCCGUCUCUGUCUCCGCUCCAUGUUCACUCCAAACAGCUUGUAGCUGCUUUGAUAAACACACACAGCUCCUGUGACCGAUCACACACGAAAACAAACAUUUUAUCGUCGAAUAAUCCGGAGACAAAAAGGUCCAAAACCAAAGUUAAACCCAGUUUAUCUCCAGGUACUCCUUCAAAGUCGUCCGGCUUUGAAGGAGUUCUAUUACCGUCAUUAUACCGAUAAUGUGCUGAAGAUCGUGUCAAACGACGACGGCGGAGGAGAAUCUGUCUGCGGAGGGAUCAGGAUGCGGAUUAAGUCACGUGAUACACGGACACGCGUGUUUCGACCAGAAAAACAUCACAGCUGAGUCUGGACAAAACAAUGUCACUCUGCCAUGUUGAGCUCCAAACAAUAUCAUACUUGUGGAGUGGAGAAGAGCUGACCUUGAUCCACAAGAUGUUAUUUCAUUUCGGAAGAACUACUUUGUUCCCGUCAGGCAGCAUCCAUCUUUUAUGAACCGGGUGGAUCUGCAGGACAGACAGAUGAAGGAUGGAGACGUGUCUGUGAUUCUGAACAAUGUGAUGAUUAAUGACACUGGAACAUACGAGUGUCAUACCUUCAUGGAGAAAACGAAAUCAUGGGAAAACAUCAGCAUCAUCUCCCUGAGUGUUGUUGAUCCUCCAGGUCAGACAGGAGGACACACAGAGGAUGGAGGGAAUAAAUAUUGUGGGCUGAUAGCUUCUGUUUUGUUACUUCUUGGGCUCGUUGUUGUUGCUCUUGUGAUCGCUACAAAACUGCCAAAAAAAAUGUACCAUCUUCCUUCUGAUGAAUCAGCUGACAUCUGUUCUGAUAUCAGAGUGUCAGGAGGAUGAAAACAGCAGCCUGAUAACAUCAAGUCUUACAUGGACGGAU
Long non-coding RNA from Oreochromis niloticus (Nile tilapia), 1278 nucleotides. RefSeq lists it as uncharacterized. The transcript is spliced from 4 exons. The record is from RefSeq and is a predicted model, not a curated record. Lineage: Eukaryota; Metazoa; Chordata; Actinopteri; Cichliformes; Cichlidae.